AGAUGUGAGGGCGAUCUGGCUGCAGCAUCUGUCACUCCAUUGAUCACCAGGGUUGAUUCGGCUGUUCUGGCCGACUAGGCAGGUGUCCCCUUCCUCCCUCACUGCUCCAUGUGCGUCUCUCCUGAAGCCGCGUGCGCGGUGGAAGAGGACGACGUCCCAGGUAUAGAAGGAGUGUACCAAGGUCUCCUGUAGAUUCACCUUUUAUGCCAUUAUUUUGGUUAUUUUUAAGUAAAGAAUUACUAUGUAUUCAUAAGUACAUGUUAUUUAUCGGUGGAUAGAACACUCAGAGUUCUAUUCAAC
Molecule: non-coding RNA, 300 nt
Organism: Anolis carolinensis (green anole)
Lineage: Eukaryota; Metazoa; Chordata; Lepidosauria; Squamata; Anolidae
Rfam family: 7SK RNA
About the family: 7SK was discovered as an abundant small nuclear RNA in the mid-70s but a possible function has only recently been suggested. Two independent studies have found that 7SK RNA binds the CDK9/cyclin T complex (known as elongation factor P-TEFb).
Source: Rfam